GCUUCCAUAGUUCAACGGACAGAAUGCCGGUCUCCGGAACCGGCGAUUUGGGUUCGAAUCCCAAUGGGAGCG
Molecule: transfer RNA, 72 nt
Filed under: Puniceicoccales bacterium
Lineage: Bacteria; Pseudomonadati; Verrucomicrobiota; Opitutia; Puniceicoccales
Description: tRNA-Arg
Rfam family: tRNA
About the family: Transfer RNA (tRNA) molecules are approximately 80 nucleotides in length. Their secondary structure includes four short double-helical elements and three loops (D, anti-codon, and T loops).
Source: RNAcentral